UUCUACCUAGUAAUUGAUCAUCAAUGUUGUCAAAAUACUAUACAAACAUAACAUUAAUACAUAAUACUAAUACAAACACAAUACUGGAAAAUACUACGAUUUCAUACAACGAGAAAGAUAGAGCUACUCGAUCUCAUAAACUCUUUACACACCCAAACAACGUAAUAUCGUAAUAAUUAAUUGACAAUAAAGAAGAUUAGAUUCCAUUGUUAAACGUCGUGUCUAACAAAACGCAUGUACUACGUGACGAACUGAUAUUAGUCAAACGCACAAGAAUUUAGAAAGUAACGGGUCACUUACGAGCCUCAAUUACUCCCAACAUCGAACGAUACGUUUGCAAAACGUUUUAAUAUUUCAAAGUACCGAGGGAAGGUCUCAGCUUAGAAAGUAUACGAUUUUUAUCUCACGGAUGAAUAAUAUCCCGACCAGGGAGCAUCGAUUCACCUGCGGGUGAUAAAACGAAUCAUAAAUUUCUCUUACUUUCACUCUCGUUCGUUUACAUUGUUACGGAUAAUUGAUCGAGUGUAGUUUGCUGAUUAGAACAGAUUACCAGGUAUCCUUGCGAGAUUAACCUAACAAUGAUGAAGCUUCCCUUCAUCAGUUU
RNAcentral lists this unclassified non-coding RNA (604 nucleotides) under Bombus terrestris (buff-tailed bumblebee). RNAcentral's name for it is "misc RNA ENSBTSG00005032399.1". The record is from RNAcentral. Lineage: Eukaryota; Metazoa; Arthropoda; Insecta; Hymenoptera; Apidae.